Molecule: long non-coding RNA, 2800 nt
Filed under: Gossypium barbadense (sea-island cotton)
Lineage: Eukaryota; Viridiplantae; Streptophyta; Magnoliopsida; Malvales; Malvaceae
Description: long non-coding RNA (GBAR_LNC002199)
Source: RNAcentral
UGUGGUGUUAAACCAAAAUGCUAAAGAGAGCGAAGGGGAAAUAAUGAACUACGUUUCAUGUAAUGUAGUACACUAUAAGAGAGUUAGAGUACUGUAGUGGACACAAUUCAAAAAUCACCUUAAGGAAAGGGCUUAUAUAAAAUAAAGAUAAAUUCAAAACAAGUUACAUGCUCGUGACCCACAACAACUAAUAGGGCCAACAUUUUAUUUUAGAACUACUCUUUUAAUUUUUGCAACUACAUACUUUCCUGGAAUAAGAAAGCCUUGCCCUGUCCCUUACUCGUCGCUGUCUCAUGGCUAUGCGCCGCAUUUUAUGGAGGGGUAUAGAGGUUCUCGCGAAAGGGCCGACUUUAUGAUAUGCUUGUCGAUAUGGAAUUAGAUCCCAAAGUUUCGACCACUCACUAUCUAGAGAGAAGCCUCAACCUCUUCCUUUCUAUACAUUGAGUUAUAUUCAAAGGUAUCCCAACACCGGUAAUGCCCCAUCUUUUAGUCAAUCCGCUACGCACCUUAAGUGCUAGAAGACGAACAACUGAUUCUCAAGUAGGGGAUUCAUCGAAAAUGACCUAUCUGUCUACUUGCUUUCAGUUCUGUUCCCGUGUCUAAAGCUCUCAACCUAUUCUUGUGCAAACCAACCAAGUUCACUGCCUAAAUUUAGGAGUGAAAUAACCCGCUAUGAGUAGAUGGGACUUUGCCUGGUAUUCCUUCUUCUUGAUUGAGGUGCCUAUGAUAGGCACAUUGGUUAAUUGAAAAUUUAUAUGAAUUGACAUGUUUUGGUGAUAGUUCAUAUUGUUGUACAAUUGAGUAUACUUGUACCACUUAGGGUACAUUGGUUAGGAUAGUUGAUUUGGUAUGUUUUAAGCUUGUUUAAUGUAAUUUUGAAUAGGUCAUAUGGCUAGUAAAUGAAUUACUUAGGGUCCAAGUAAGCUUGAAAUCAUAAACUUUUCAUUUAAGGUUCAUUUAGGGCCACAUGGCUUGUGACACGCCAGUGUCACCUAGCCAUAUGUCACACACAGCCUAGCGACAUGGCCGUAUGGCAUCUGAUGAUUUACUUAGGGUUCAAGUCAGUGAGUUACACGACCUAACACAUGGCCUAACACACGAGUGUGUGAGGCAACUUAGAAAGUUACAAGACCUGGGACACGGGUGUGUGACAAGGUUGUGUGACCCUACUUAGAGAGUUACACGGGUGAGGACACGGGCUAGGACACGACCGUGUUUCCCUAGUUCAAAAGGUACAUGGUUGGGGACAUGGGCAUGUGAUACAGCCAUGUGAAUCACACGGCCUAGCCACACGGCCGUGUGACCCAUGUUUUGCAUAUUUUUCAUUUUCUUCCUAAACUUCCUAUCUUAUUUCAAAUUAGUCUCGUUGGGCGGAGCUAGAGCAAGAGCCUGUUCCAGAGCCGGGAGGGCAGUAGGACUAAGGGCAGUAGCCUUUUCUUCAAGUAGGGUUUUCUUGAUAGCCAGAAGCUCUUCCUUCCAUUAGUAAUCUGGGCAGAAUCGAUCAACUACCUUUUCCUUCUGUAAAAAAUUCCCAGAAAAAUGGUUGAAUGGGCAGACUUACGACUAAACUCUUAUUGGGAUGGGAUGCCUUACCUUACAACUGCUACGGGUAGCUCUCUUAACUAUCUGGCUAUCUCUUAAGAGUGAAACUCAAUUCCCUCACUACUUGCCUGUAAACCAGAGCUAAUGAUUGUGGAUCCUUUACCGUAGUUGAAUUCACACCAGCUUACUCUAGACAAAGAUAAGAUAACGAUUUGGCGAUUUGAAUGCCAUAUAUGACUUGACUCUAUCAAUUUCGGAACCCUCCAAAAAGAAAGAGAUUACACUUGAGCUAUUAUUGUUCUAACGACAGAAGUGGAUUCAAGCAUUCGUUCCGAGUCGCCAAGAGACAGAAGAGCUUAUUUCAAGCAUUCCCCUUGAGUCGGGAAAACUCCUUAAUUAUUUAACUGGGUAUGAGAACUCCUCCCUUAUAGUAGAAAUUCUUCCAAGAACGUAUUCUUCUUAAUUAAGUUGAUUUGAGAACAUCUGCUACUGAUUUCAAUAGCCAAGUCAAGCUUUCCAGCAGGUGAGACAAAUGCCGAUUCUACCUCUUCCAACUCCCUCUUUAUAGCAGGAUUUUCUUAACCAAGAGCUAGCUUAUGGAUAUUAGAUAUCAAUAUCGGAAGAUCAGGCCCAUCACUUCUUCUUGACUUUUAUGAUUUGCCAAUCCCUAUAAUUAAAAAGUUUAUCAGCGUUUUCCCAAUCCUUAUAAUUAAAGUCAACUGAGCAUAUUAUGGAAUAGGGAAAACUACAAUUAGGAUCAACAUAGAAGUUUCCCCGUGUGGUGUUAAACCAAAAUGCUAAAGAGAGCGAAGGGGAAAUCAUAAACUACGUUUCAUGUAAUGUAGUACACUAUAAGAGAGUUAGAGUACUGUAGUGGACACAAUUCAAAAAUCACCUUAAGGAAAGGGCUUAUAUAAAAUAAAGAUAAAUUCAAAACAAGUUACAUGCUCGUGACCCACAACAACUAAUAGGGCCAACAUUUUAUUUUAGAACUACUCUUUUAAUUUUUGCAACUACAUACUUUCCUGGAAUAAGAAAGCCUUGCCCUGUCCCUUACUCGUCGCUGUCUCAUGGCUAUGCGCCGCAUUUUAUGGCGGGGUAUAGAGGUUCUCGCGAAAGGGCCGACUUUAUGAUAUGCUUGUCGAUAUGGAAUUAGAUCCCAAAGUUUCGACCACUCACUAUCUAGAGAGAAGCCUCAACCUCUUCUUUUCUAUACAUUGAGUUAUAUUCAAAGGUAUCCCAACACCGGUAAUGCCCC